UACAGAGGUCCCGAGCGUUGUUCGGAUUCACUGGGCGUAAAGGGUGCGUAGGUGGCCUAGAAAGUUUGAUGUGAAAGCUCAGGGCUUAACCCUGAAAUGGCAUUGAAUACUGCUGUGCUGGAGGUUUGGAGGGGGGACUGGAAUUCUUGGUGUAGCAGUGAAAUGCGUAGAUAUCAAGAGGAACACCAGUGGCGAAGGCGAGUCCCUGGACAACACCUGACACUGAGGCACGAAAGCUAGGGGAGCAAACAGG
RNAcentral lists this ribosomal RNA (253 nucleotides) under uncultured bacterium. RNAcentral's name for it is "partial 16S ribosomal RNA". It matches the Rfam family "Bacterial small subunit ribosomal RNA", at positions 524 to 776 of the family's 1533-position model. The record is from RNAcentral.